RNAcentral lists this ribosomal RNA (465 nucleotides) under uncultured bacterium. RNAcentral's name for it is "partial 16S ribosomal RNA". It matches the Rfam family "Bacterial small subunit ribosomal RNA", at positions 28 to 507 of the family's 1533-position model. The record is from RNAcentral.
GACGAACGCUGGCGGCGUGCUUAACACAUGCAAGUCGAACGGAAAGGCCCCUUUGGGGGUACUCGAGUGGCGAACGGGUGAGUAACACGUGAGUAACCUGCCCUUGACUUCGGGAUAACUUCCGGAAACUGGGGCUAAUACCGGAUAGGAAUCCUUGCUGCAUGGUGGGGGUUGGAAAGCUUCGGCGGUUUUGGAUGGACUCGCGGCUUAUCAGCUUGUUGGUGGGGUAGUGGCUUACCAAGGCUUUGACGGGUAGCCGGCCUGAGAGGGCGACCGGCCACAUUGGGACUGAGAUACGGCCCAGACUCCUACGGGAGGCAGCAGUGGGGAAUAUUGCACAAUGGGCGGAAGCCUGAUGCAGCAACGCCGCGUGCGGGAUGACGGCCUUCGGGUUGUAAACCGCUUUCAGCAGGGGCGAAGCUUGUGGUGACGGUACCUGCAGAAGAAGCACCGGCUAACUACGUG